RNAcentral lists this ribosomal RNA (488 nucleotides) under uncultured bacterium. RNAcentral describes it as "partial 16S ribosomal RNA". It matches the Rfam family "Bacterial small subunit ribosomal RNA", at positions 28 to 507 of the family's 1533-position model. The record is from RNAcentral.
GACGAACGCUGGCGGCGUGCUUAACACAUGCAAGUCGAACGCGCCUGUCCUCUGGGUUUCUGGGGGGUGGGUGAGUGGCGAACGGGUGAGUAACACGUGAGUAACCUGCCCCCUUCUUCGGGAUAACGGUCUGAAAGGGCUGCUAAUACCGGGUAUUCACUGGUCUCCGCAUGGGGUCUGGUGGAAAGGUUUUUUUCUGGUGGGGGAUGGGCUCGCGGCCUAUCAGCUUGUUGGUGGGGUGAUGGCCCACCAAGGCUUUGACGGGUAGCCGGCCUGAGAGGGUGACCGGUCACAUUGGGGCUGAGAUACGGCCCAGACUCCUACGGGAGGCAGCAGUGGGGAAUAUUGCACAAUGGGCGCAAGCCUGAUGCAGCGACGCCGCGGGAGGGAUGGAGGCCUUCGGGUUGUGAACCUCUUUCGCCCGUGGUCAAGCCGCGACGUGGGUCGUGGUGAGGGUAGUGGGUAAAGAAGCGCCGGCUAACUACGUG